AGGAAAAAUGGCUGAGUGGUCUAAAGCGAUAAAUUGCUAAUUUAUUGUACAUUUUUUUUUGUAUCAAGAGUUCAAAUCUCUUUUUUUCCUA
Molecule: transfer RNA, 91 nt
Filed under: Pterocladiophila hemisphaerica
Lineage: Eukaryota; Rhodophyta; Florideophyceae; Gracilariales; Pterocladiophilaceae
Description: tRNA-Ser
Rfam family: tRNA
About the family: Transfer RNA (tRNA) molecules are approximately 80 nucleotides in length.
Source: RNAcentral